This 101-nucleotide microRNA precursor is filed under the name Citrus x clementina. RNAcentral's name for it is "Citrus clementina miRNA MIR535". It matches the Rfam family "MIR535 microRNA precursor family". Lineage: Eukaryota; Viridiplantae; Streptophyta; Magnoliopsida; Sapindales; Rutaceae. The record is from RNAcentral.
AAGCAAAUCGUAUGACAAUGGUAGAGAGCACGCUAGUAGACAGCCUUGCCAUUUGCACGAAUGCUGACGGGUGUGCUCUCUCUCAUUGUCAAACAAAGUUG